GGUUACUGCUAUCGGUGUUCGCCUAAGCCAUGCAACUCAUAUGUUCUUCGGAACAUGGCGUACUGCUCAUUUUCCUAUGGAUAACCUGCCCUUGGGUCCGGCAUAACCCCGGGAAACUGGGGAUAAUUCCGGAUAACGCACAUAUGCUGGAAUGCUUUAUGCGUCAAAUGGAUUCGUCCGCCCAAGGAUGGGUCUGCGGCCUAUCAGGUAGUAGUGGGUGUAAUGUACCUACUAGCCUACGACGGGUACGGGUUGUGAGAGCAAGAGCCCGGAGAUGGAUUCUGAGACAUGAAUCCAGGCCCUACGGGGCGCAGCAGGCGCGAAAACUUUACAAUGCGGGAAACCGUGAUAAGGGGACACCGAGUGCCAGCAUCCUAUGCUGGCUGUCCGGGUGCGUAAAAUACACCUGUUAGCAAGGGCCGGGCAAGACCGGUGCCAGCCGCCGCGGUAGCACCGGCGGCCCGAGUGGUGAUCGUGAUUAUUGGGUCUAAAGGGUCCGUAGCCGGUUUGGUCAGUCCUCCGGGAAAUCUGACGGCUCAACCGUUAGGCUUUCGGGGGAUACUGCCAGACUUGGAACUGGGAGAGGUAAGAGGUACUACAGGGGUAGGAGUGAAAUCUUGUAAUCCCUGUGGGACCACCUGUGGCGAAGGCGUCUUACCAGAACGGGCUCGACGGUGAGGGACGAAAGCUGGGGGCACGAACCGGAUUAGGUACCCGGGUAGUCCCAGCCGUAAACGAUGCUCGCUAGGUGUCAGGCAUGGCGCGACCGUGUCUGGUGCCGCAGGGAAGCCGUGAAGCGAGCCACCUGGGAAGUACGGCCGCAAGGCUGAAACUUAA
Molecule: ribosomal RNA, 837 nt
Filed under: uncultured archaeon
Lineage: Archaea
Description: bacterial SSU rRNA
Rfam family: Archaeal small subunit ribosomal RNA
Source: RNAcentral